GGCCCUUCGGGGUACUCGAGUGGCGAACGGGUGAGUAACACGUGGGUGAUCUGCCCUGCACUCUGGGAUAAGCCUGGGAAACUGGGUCUAAUACCGGAUAGGACCACACACUUCAUGGUGAGUGGUGCAAAGCUUUUGCGGUGUGGGAUGAGCCCGCGGCCUAUCAGCUUGUUGGUGGGGUAAUGGCCCACCAAGGCGACGACGGGUAGCCGGCCUGAGAGGGUGACCGGCCACACUGGGACUGAGAUACGGCCCAGACUCCUACGGGAGGCAGCAGUGGGGAAUAUUGCACAAUGGGCGCAAGCCUGAUGCAGCGACGCCGCGUGAGGGAUGACGGCCUUCGGGUUGUAAACCUCUUUCAGUAGGGACGAAGCGAAAGUGACGGUACCUACAGAAGAAGGACCGGCCAACUACGUGCCAGCAGCCGCGGUAAUACGUAGGGUCCGAGCGUUGUCCGGAAUUACUGGGCGUAAAGAGCUCGUAGGUGGUUUGUCACGUUGUUCGUGAAAACCCACAGCUUAACUGUGGGCGUGCGGGCGAUACGGGCAGACUAGAGUACUGCAGGGGAGACUGGAAUUCCUGGUGUAGCGGUGGAAUGCGCAGAUAUCAGGAGGAACACCGGUGGCGAAGGCGGGUCUCUGGGCAGUAACUGACGCUGAGGAGCGAAAGCGUGGGUAGCGAACAGGAUUAGAUACCCUGGUAGUCCACGCCGUAAACGGUGGGUACUAGGUGUGGGUUUCCUUCCUUGGGAUCCGUGCCGUAGCUAACGCAUUAAGUACCCCGCCUGGGGAGUACGGUCGCAAGACUAAAACUCAAAGGAAUUGACGGGGGCCCGCACAAGCGGCGGAGCAUGUGGAUUAAUUCGAUGCAACGCGAAGAACCUUACCUGGGUUUGACAUGCACAGGACGUACCUAGAGAUAGGUAUUCCCUUGUGGCCUGUGUGCAGGUGGUGCAUGGCUGUCGUCAGCUCGUGUCGUGAGAUGUUGGGUUAAGUCCCGCAACGAGCGCAACCCUUGUCCUAUGUUGCCAGCGGGUAAUGCCGGGGACUCGUAGGAGACUGCCGGGGUCAACUCGGAGGAAGGUGGGGAUGACGUCAAGUCAUCAUGCCCCUUAUGUCCAGGGCUUCACACAUGCUACAAUGGCCAGUACAGAGGGCUGCGAAGCCGCAAGGUGGAGCGAAUCCCUUAAAGCUGGUCUCAGUUCGGAUUGGGGUCUGCAACUCGACCCCAUGAAGUCGGAGUCGCUAGUAAUCGCAGAUCAGCAACGCUGCGGUGAAUACGUUCCCGGGCCUUGUACACACCGCCCGUCACGUCAUGAAAGUCGGUAACACCCGAAGCCAGUGGCCUAACCUUUUGGAGGGAGCUGUCGAAGGUGGGAUCGGCG
RNAcentral lists this ribosomal RNA (1384 nucleotides) under Mycobacteroides chelonae. Its description in RNAcentral is "bacterial SSU rRNA". It matches the Rfam family "Bacterial small subunit ribosomal RNA". The record is from RNAcentral. Lineage: Bacteria; Bacillati; Actinomycetota; Actinomycetes; Mycobacteriales; Mycobacteriaceae.